GUGACCUUGCCUUGCACUGUUUUAGGGAAAAGAGCACUUUCAUAGUGUAUAUGAGUUGAGGGCUCAAGAAGAAUUGUUUUCCUCUUUGGUGGGUUGUUUCCCUGUACAUGUAGUCAACGAGCUGUUGACAUUUUAAUAAGGGCGCCACCUUCUAAUUGAGCCAACUCCCCGCAAAGUGUGUAAAAUAUAUUCCUGUCAUUUUUUCCCCAUCAGGUCUGUGCCCCAGGAGGGUUCUUGGUCACAGAGCUGGAAGUGUCACGUGGGGGAGCCCUGCACAGCCAGCGCUGAUGCACUGAAGAGUCCAUUUUCCUUUUCGAAAUCCGGGGCUGUGUUUUGCUUCUCCUGGCUGCUGACGGUGCAUCUGAAAGGAAAAGGAGAGGACGUGACACACACAGAAGGGAGACCGUGUGAGGACACAGAGAGAAGACGGCAUCUACAAGCCUAGGAGAGGGGCCUCCGAGAAACCAAGCCUGCCAACACCCCGAUCGCAGCCUUCCAGCCUCCAGAGCUGUGAGAAACAAUCCGGAAAUCAACUCGGCUCAAAUGGUUGGAAAAUACAUCCCGAACGGACCACUUCUCCCCCGUCCCCGACUCUCAGCCUGCUGGGGGCCCAUCACCUGCUGCCGGGACCAGUGCAGGCGCCUCACUGGCCGCCCGUCCUCUGCAUCCUCGGCGUGGCCUCAGCACGCCCACCUGGGCGCUCACAAAUUCAAGUUCGGUCAGGUGGCCCCUCACCGAAAGCCCCACGGUGGCCUCCGUUUCACCCCCGCUGGCAGCUGUGAUUCCGGCCCA
Physeter macrocephalus (sperm whale) is the source of this 792-nucleotide long non-coding RNA. RefSeq lists it as uncharacterized. Lineage: Eukaryota; Metazoa; Chordata; Mammalia; Artiodactyla; Physeteridae. The record is from RefSeq and is a predicted model, not a curated record. The transcript has 4 exons.